RNAcentral lists this transfer RNA (71 nucleotides) under Pedinomonas minor. Its description in RNAcentral is "tRNA-Gly". It matches the Rfam family "tRNA". Rfam says of the family: Transfer RNA (tRNA) molecules are approximately 80 nucleotides in length. Their secondary structure includes four short double-helical elements and three loops (D, anti-codon, and T loops). The record is from RNAcentral. Lineage: Eukaryota; Viridiplantae; Chlorophyta; Pedinophyceae; Pedinomonadales; Pedinomonadaceae.
GCGGAUGUUGCAUAGUGGUAGUGCCCCUGCCUUCCAAGCAGGAGGUAAGGGUUCGAUUCCCUUUAUCCGCU